AGCUCCUCAAGUCCUUGUGGAGGUGGAAGUUGUUCUAGCAUCUCUUGCAUACAUUUUCCAUCCAACUUUUCAGUGUCAAAAUCAAUGGCUAGAACCUUGAGUUUCUUGAGCUUAGAUAGGACAUCCGAACUUGUUAUGUCACUAUCUUUACUUAAAUGCAUUCGCAGGAUUCUUAACUCGCCUAGUUUUCCAAGUUCAAGAAGUUGACAGCUUUUUCUGUUACUCUGACUAGCUAGU
This 237-nucleotide unclassified non-coding RNA is filed under the name Hevea brasiliensis (rubber tree). The record is from RNAcentral. Lineage: Eukaryota; Viridiplantae; Streptophyta; Magnoliopsida; Malpighiales; Euphorbiaceae.